GAGUUUGAAACGGGAGGGGAGCCGGACCCAUUUGUCCACCGCCUCCAUCCUAAUAUAUAACAACACCAAACACAAACACAAACACAAACAAGCAAUACGCUCUCUGUUCUCUCUUUUUCAUAGUCGUCCGUUUGUUUGGCUUGCGUCGCUCUGUUUCUAUCCGAUCCUCUCUUCGCAAAGCAAAUUGCAAAGUUGGCCAUGUCGACAACACCGAAAUCAUCGUCCUCUUCGUCUUCUUUUCCAUACCAGAAAUUUGCUUGUAUUCUCGUACAAGGUUCUCGUAUGGCUUUGGAGUGGUAUGUCUUUAACAUCUCCGAUGAUGUUGAGCACAAUCAGGCUCCUCCUCCUCCUGGUCCUAGUCCGUUUCUACAAGCAAUAUUUCAUCCAAACUCCCACCAGCAGCCGAAUAUCAAACCCGCAGUGAUUGUACCUUCAGGAAGGAAGUGUUCCGUUUUAGGAUCCAACAACACUUUAUACCAUAUAGCUGGCCGCGAUUAUUGUGCUUCUGGACGCGACGAUUUAGUGUCUCGCUUUGACCUUACCAAUACCAAAAAAUCUAGGCAAGAGUUUCUUCCUCCAAUGCCUUAUGGCGUGUCAUCAGCGCAUGCCCUCUUUCUUGGCAACAAGCUUUAUUGCCUAGGUGGUUAUCAAGAAAACAAUCCCUGGGCCAUGGCUUACGACUUGAGUCUUGAUAGAUGGGAUUCUCUAGUGGAUCCUCCUCGCCGUCCCAAAAAUAUUGAUAAUAGUUUUUCAGUGGCUUUAGAGGUCCCAACCCCAACUAUUGUGGUGGGUUCAACUUUGCAGUCUUCUCCUCUCCAAAUCUAUGAUGUGCAUACCAAGUGUUGGAGACGACAUGAGUUUAUAAACAAGGAUGGCUUUUAUCUUUUCCCUCGGGGACAACCUGUGGCUGUUGAUAGCAAGUUUUAUUGGUAUGAAUUCAACUAUCAAUGCCUAGCUGCAUUUGAUGUGGUCACAAACGAGUGGUCAUUGGCCUAUGUCCCUAUACAUGACAGUCAUGAAUGUCUAUUGGAUGGAGAGAUCGAUUCACCUCCGCGCUUGGCUCAUCUAGCCGGUGAUGAUUUCUGCUUGUUUUGGGAAUCCCCCUGCCAGCAUUACGAACCUGGUGCCCCUCGUGACAGCGUCACAUCUCGCCUUCACUGCCUGAAGUUUCGUAUUUCCAAAGUUCACCCAAAGCAAGGAUCAACUUUUCGCUUGGAUGCCUCUAUCCUGUCAUGCCAAUCCUACGUUGUGCCUUGGGUAAAGCUCUUUCUUGAUGGCUUCGUGGGGGACGGUCAUUUGGAUUUGGGAUACAACUGCUUGAAAGUUUGACAACAUGAGUGUUUUUUUCUUCAGGCACCGUAGUAAAAGGGGGUCAAAAGAGAGAAUAGUUUAAUCAACAGUUUGAUCAACUGUGGACAAAAUAAUUUAAAUUUUGUAUCAACAGUUGUAAAACGUUGGAAAACAAUAACACUAUAUUGUAUAAAAGCUCAUUUUAAACUCAAGAGUUUAAAACAUUAAGGGGCUCUCUCGCUCUCGCUCCCGCUCUCUUUCAUAGCUCACAUCUCUCUCGGCUCCUCACAGAUUCACCGAGUUGGUACAAUCGCAUCCAAAUCUUGCGUAUAUUCACACUUUUACCUAUCCAAACCUCUGAUUAGUGAGAAUUCAGGGUUAAAAGUUUUGACCUCGAACCUGUUGUAUCGGGAUAAGUAUUUGCAUAGAGAGAGGAAGGGAGGGCUUGGAUUGUUGAUUCCAGAACAAGGACCGAAACAAGUGGAAGUGAAGGCUUAGGAGUUUGGGUAAUCUAAACUUUUAACAUAUGUAUACGUGUCAUUUUUCAUGUUGGAAUUGAUCAUUUGAACUUCAUUUUGUGGAGUAUAGAAUUGUGCAAUUGUUUUUUUAUAAGCAAUUGUUGUUGUAGGAAAAUUAGAUGUAGAAUAAAGGUUGUCACGGCAUUCCUUGCAUUUGAAUAUAAGUUAUACAACUUUCUAUUCAAAGGUUGCUCGAGCAUUGUGAUUAUUUGAAGAUUUGGAUUCCUGUUUCUGUAGUUUCUGGUUUUUAUAAAUUGUAGUUAGUAAAAAAAUGCUUAUAUAAAUAAAUUGUUAUUAGUUUCACGAAUCCAGUUUUGCCAUUUUAGUAGAAUUAUAAACCACUUGGAAAUGUCUCAUGACCUAAAACUCUUUUACCUUCUCCUCGUGGAACCAUGAUAUCAGCCAUACCACAUUUUGAUAAUUUAAAUGUGUGUUUCUAGGUUAGCUUCAUGAAUUUGGUCUAUACAUACAUUCUGUUAAGCUUUUAUCUGCUUGUCAAUGUCUCAUUAGCUUAGUCCAUAUACUCCUUUGGCUUGUCCUGUUAACACCAAAAUAUGAGUUCUUAACACUUUUUUAGUGUGUUAAUUCCUCUCUAUUAAAAUUGCUGUCUUUCUCCAGGUCACACAAAGGUCUUGCCUAACAUCAAAAGCAUUAAAGUAAAAAUUAGAUUCUUUGCUCUUCUUUAUGAUUAAAUUACUGUGGUUUUUGUUGCAGUGUUCAUUUGGUGGAAUUGCAAGGUACAGGUGAACUAUAUGCUAUGAAGGCAAUGGAAAAGUCAAUGAUGCUGAACCGUAACAAGGAUUACUAGCUUAAUCCUUUGGAUUUCCUCCCUGCAAAGUGCAACAAAUAAGUUACAUGCAAACUCAAGGAAAUAUGGGCUUAUGGUUAAGAUACAGUUUUGUGUGUGGCAAAUGAAUUCUAUACUGAAGGUGGAGUGGCCUUUAAACGUCCACUCUGAAGGAGAAACGUAACAUUUUUGCAAAGUUUCACGGAAUCUAAAACAUGGCCCCAUUUGAGCUAGCUCAAUCUGAUUGUUCUUCUUAACUUUACCAAUCAGGUUGUUGUUGGAAGUGUAUGGGAGAGAAAAAUCAGUCUGUUUUGUAGAGAAAGUUCAUUCUAUUUUGGCUGGAUACAUCUUCGUGUAGAUACAGUAUGAGCUAUCAGCAGUCUGUCAAAUGCUAUGUUUUGCAAGUUUUGAUUCACCCUUUGCUUCAAGUGCAGAACAGAUCUCAUGAUGAUGAUUUCCAAAAUUCUUGGUUUGUGCAAAGUAAACAUGUGACUUCCUCUUUACUUUUCUAAAUAUUCUUUGGUUCACUAUGACGUCAUAUGAAUGAAAUUACUGCUAUAUGUACUGAUUAGAAUGUACAGGUGGUAGAAUUUCCAGGAAAAUUACUUUUGUCUUGCUCUACAUCUACACAUAUAAAACUGUGAAUUUGUUACCCUCUUGGUUGUCUUUCUUUUUUUAUACAAUUCUUGUUCUCUAAGCUAUGUAUGUUGGACUGCAAUGAUGGUUUUGAAUCAUAGGCCUAAACUAUGCAGGAGUAUCUAUAUUCACCACCACCAAUGUAUUAAAGUUUACAAA
This is an RNA transcript of Quercus robur (English oak), 3390 nucleotides long. RefSeq lists it as uncharacterized. The transcript is spliced from 9 exons. NCBI's taxonomy places the organism in Eukaryota, Viridiplantae, Streptophyta, Magnoliopsida, Fagales, Fagaceae. The record is from RefSeq and is a predicted model, not a curated record.